RNAcentral lists this ribosomal RNA (1343 nucleotides) under uncultured bacterium. RNAcentral describes it as "16S ribosomal RNA". It matches the Rfam family "Bacterial small subunit ribosomal RNA", at positions 28 to 1378 of the family's 1533-position model. The record is from RNAcentral.
GACGAACGCUGGCGGCGUGCUUAACACAUGCAAGUCGAACGGAAAGGCCCUGCUUUUGUGGGGUGCUCGAGUGGCGAACGGGUGAGUAACACGUGAGUAACCUGCCCUUGACUUUGGGAUAACUUCAGGAAACUGGGGCUAAUACCGGAUAGGAGCUCCUGCUGCAUGGUGGGGGUUGGAAAGUUUCGGCGGUUGGGGAUGGACUCGCGGCUUAUCAGCUUGUUGGUGGGGUAGUGGCUUACCAAGGCUUUGACGGGUAGCCGGCCUGAGAGGGUGACCGGCCACAUUGGGACUGAGAUACGGCCCAGACUCCUACGGGAGGCAGCAGUGGGGAAUAUUGCACAAUGGGCGGAAGCCUGAUGCAGCAACGCCGCGUGCGGGAUGACGGCCUUCGGGUUGUAAACCGCUUUCGCCUGUGACGAAGCGUGAGUGACGGUAAUGGGUAAAGAAGCACCGGCUAACUACGUGCCAGCAGCCGCGGUGAUACGUAGGGUGCGAGCGUUGUCCGGAUUUAUUGGGCGUAAAGGGCUCGUAGGUGGUUGAUCGCGUCGGAAGUGUAAUCUUGGGGCUUAACCCUGAGCGUGCUUUCGAUACGGGUUGACUUGAGGAAGGUAGGGGAGAAUGGAAUUCCUGGUGGAGCGGUGGAAUGCGCAGAUAUCAGGAGGAACACCAGUGGCGAAGGCGGUUCUCUGGGCCUUUCCUGACGCUGAGGAGCGAAAGCGUGGGGAGCGAACAGGCUUAGAUACCCUGGUAGUCCACGCUGUAAACGGUGGGUACUAGGUGUGGGGUCCAUUCCACGGGUUCCGUGCCGUAGCUAACGCUUUAAGUACCCCGCCUGGGGAGUACGGCCGCAAGGCUAAAACUCAAAGGAAUUGACGGGGCCCCGCACAAGCGGCGGAGCAUGCGGAUUAAUUCGAUGCAACGCGUAGAACCUUACCUGGGUUUGACAUGGAUCGGGAGCGCUCAGAGAUGGGUGUGCCUCUUUUGGGGUCGGUUCACAGGUGGUGCAUGGCUGUCGUCAGCUCGUGUCGUGAGAUGUUGGGUUAAGUCCCGCAACGAGCGCAACCCUUGUUCACUGUUGCCAGCACGUUAUGGUGGGGACUCAGUGGAGACCGCCGGGGUCAACUCGGAGGAAGGUGGGGAUGACGUCAAGUCAUCAUGCCCCUUAUGUCCAGGGCUUCACGCAUGCUACAAUGGCUGGUACAGAGAGUGGCGAGCCUGUGAGGGUGAGCGAAUCUCGGAAAGCCGGUCUCAAUUCGGAUUGGGGUCUGCAACUCGACCUCAUGAAGUCGGAGUCGCUAGUAAUCGCAGAUCAGCAACGCUGCGGUGAAUACGUUCCCGGG